Long non-coding RNA from Dermochelys coriacea (leatherback sea turtle), 3432 nucleotides. RefSeq lists it as uncharacterized. NCBI's taxonomy places the organism in Eukaryota, Metazoa, Chordata, Testudines, Dermochelyidae. The record is from RefSeq and is a predicted model, not a curated record. The transcript has 2 exons.
CUCGCUCGGCCCCGCGCGGGCAGUGGACUCGGCGGCUCCGCUUGGCUCCGUCAGCGCAGCCGGCGGCGCCUGUUGGGCGCGAGGAAGGGACCAGCGUCCGCCCGCUGACGUCAGAGUCCCUGUGGGGGGGCGAACGGGGGCGGCCACCCCCGGGCCCAGGAGCCUGGGCCGCUGUGUAACGCUCCCGGGCUGGGGCGGGGGCCGGAGCCGGGGGCGGGCGCUGCUGACAGGGCGGGACCGACCCACCCAGCAAAACUCCGCCCGGGCCCGUGCAGCCCGUGCCGCGGCCGGACUAAAACCGCCGCGGGCUCCCAGCUCCGGUCGCAGGCGGCUGCUCGGGGCCGGGCCCCGUCGGAGUGAGGCCGGGGGCGCCCUCGGGCAGCAGUUAGGCUCCUGGGUGGAGUGAGACAGUUGAAACAACAGGGGCCCCGGCCGGGCUGGCCCGCGCUCGCGCGCGCGCGGCGAGGGUGCCACCGGGGGGGGGCUGGUUAUAAAUGGCUCGGAGCGGCGGGGAGCGAAGACGUCGAUUGUUCCAGAAGUGUUUGAAUAUGGAUUACAAAUGGUGAUGGAUUAAAAUCACUGUCAUAUACCAUUUUCUUCAUACUUGCGAAAUGCAGAGACUUCGUCUUCAUAUGUGACAUCCACAAGAUCAGUUUUGCUUUGAAUGAUUUUACAGAACCUAUCAUUUGAGCCACAUGUUUGUCUUUUCCCUAGAGCUCAAGAUUUAAAAUGUUCAAUUUGUCAGUGAUGUCAGCAAGAAAAGCCAAGUCCAUUAACCAGCUGGAGUCUUCUAGUUGCUCGAAGUUCUGAUUUGUGGACUACAGAAAUUCUUUGAUCCCUUCAAUUAGGCUUAACGUACAAGAACUUUACCUUUUCUCAGCCAUCAUACUUGUGUGCAAGAUCAGAUCAGAUUGUUUAUCAUCAAUAUCUUCGAACGGGGCCUUAAAAAGUCGGUGUUGCAAAGGUUUCGCUUGAAUCGAGAGUUAAUUAUUUUAAUAAUGGCAUUCAUGACGAGUUGAAAAGAAAGAUCUUUGAUGCACAAAGCUUCUUGGUGGAUAAUGUAAUGAUAAGACAAAGUUCAAAAAGGAUUCAUUCUUCUUGCAGAGUGUAAUGAAUCCAUUGGCGCUGCCCAUCAUUGCUGGUGGCCCAUCAGUGGUGACAGCUUGUGUAGUGGCAUACUAAUUGAUGUUGCAUAUGAUUUGAAUAAAUUAUAGAUGUGUUCACCCUUUGUUCACCCUUUCAUAGGCAAUACUUUUAGUAACUCUUCUUUUAUGGUGAAGUCACUAAAUACCAUCCUCACCAUAACUGCCAACUGCGCUGUAUCCAAUAUAUCUGUCGACUCAUCGAACUGCAGUGAAAACCAGUCACAUAUUUCCAAGUCAUCCUUUUGCUGAGUUUUCAUGUCGCUUGAAAUUACAUGUAUCCUCCUGUUUGAUAACUGCAAGUCUUGUAUUGCCGACAAAAUCUCACGCUUGUUACGAAAUCCUUGAAACAGGCUAGCAACACCAGUCAAAAAUGCUUCCUUCAACAAUUCAAUAUCUUGAAAGGGUUUUUUCUUCUUUGCAAGCAGAGCAAUUUGCAAUUUUAAAGAAAGCAAUAGUAGCACUUUUAGACUUUACCACUUGUCUAGUGAAAACAGAUUGCUGGGCAGAUAGGUUUGAUUAGAGUUGAUUAAUUCUCUUCUCUCUCAACUCAGAUUUAAGUGGAUGGCUAAUGUCAAAAGAGCCAUGAUUAGUUUGGAAAUGGCAUUUGACAUUAAGUUUUUUCAGCACUGCAACACUACCACUGCACAAUAAGCAAACAUUUCCCUUUAUUUUCAAUAAAACAAUAGAAUUCUUCCCACUCUGUGUGGAAAUAAUUUGUACGUUGUCCUUUAGUUGAACAACUCAUUUUGGGGCAAAAUGUUCAAAAAAUAAUAAAUUGCAAAGCACAAGAAAACAGAAGUAUCAGUGCAGCGGAAGAAUACUCACAUACAGGGCCAGCUCCAGAUAUCAGCAGAGCAAGCACGUGCCUGGGGCAGCACAUGCGACAGGGCGGCAGAGUCCAAGCGGGGUGUGGUUUUGUUUUUUUGUUUGGUUUUUUUUUUUUUGCGGGGGCAGUUCUGGGCAGCAUGGAGAGAAGCUGCGGCCCCACACCUGCCGGGGACAGAGAACACGGGUGACUGCAGCCUGCAGCCCCAGAGUUCUCUGUCCCCGGCAGACACAGGGCCGCGGCUUCUCUCCCCUGCUAGGCACUAGGUGGGCGCACAUAAAUGCCCUGGCAGGCACGAGGGGGCAUUUAUAUGGGGACCACUGUAGUAACUCUUUGUAUGACCUAUGGAAUCUUUGUAUGCAGUGUUGUUAUAGCCAUGUUGGUCCCAGGAUAUUAGAGAGAAGUUGGGUGAGGUAACACAUUUUAUUGGACCAACCUUAGUGAAAGCUCAAAAACUUGUCUCUGUCACCUACAGGUGUUGGUUCAAUAAAAGAGAUUACCUCCCCCACCUGGAACUAUGGGAAAUGCCUCAGUCUGCUUUUGCCAAAUCAGAAAUUGUUAAAAGAUAGCCCUAAGGAAGGUCAAGUCUACACAAUCACUCUAUGAUUAAAAGGUAUUGAAAGUUUCAAUAGACACUGAAGAUGACCAUAUAAUGGAUAGAUAUGCUUCAUAGUUCUAGGUUAAGGGAUCCUAGUUGAGGCUGUUUGUGUGAAGUUAACUGCACUUUUACAUACUUUAAAAAAAAAAAAAGUGGAGAAGGUGUUGUAAAAUAGAAUCAUAGUUCAGGAUUUAUAGAUUUUUCUAAAAUGCAUGUGUUUUGAAAAAACUAGAAAAUUCUAUUAAGACUUCUUUUCUAACCCAGUGCAAAAAAGCAGCAAAAUAGUGUUAGCCAGUGCAUUUAGAUUAUGUUUACAUACACCACAUGAAUAGCUAUUUAUUAUAUAAAUACCAUAUACAUGUGUGUGUUGGGUAAUUAUGCUAAGUUGUACACUGCUUAUUUUUGCUCAUUUAUGCUUCAGCAUAUAUCCCAUGAUGCCCUGCCCUUAAGCACUUGGCUUAAGCAAAUACAAAAACUGUCAAAAGCUAGAUGUACGAGCGUUAUGAAACAAAGGUACAAUGUAGUACAAGGAAAUAAUGAAAGAUUUAUGAAUGCUUUGUAUUAGGGAGUAUCUUCAUGCCCCUUAACAUUUGGUAUUUAAUAUUCAAACGAAAGAUGGGAAAGUACAAGGAGGCACCAAAGACAAAGCUGGCUUGUUAAACUUUAAGUACUCUGAUACUUGUAAACAGCCAUGCUAUAAAAGAUGGCCAGUUUAAGGGAGCAUUUAGGAAGCACAUUCUCUGUAUAAGACAAACUGAACACACUGCGAGACUUCAGUUCCUGGGCAGGAUUGGUGAUGUAUUAACUUUUUCAUGUACCGUAGUGUGUUAUCUUUAGAUAAUAAAUUUGGCUGAGUUUGGUUA